UGUGUCAAGAGCAGAACAGCUGGACAC
Molecule: non-coding RNA, 27 nt
Filed under: Mus musculus (house mouse)
Lineage: Eukaryota; Metazoa; Chordata; Mammalia; Rodentia; Muridae
Source: RNAcentral